GAAAAAUGCCAUAGUCGAUUGCAGGUUGAGUCUCUCCCAUUUCUGAGAGGACUCAUCACACCUAAUUUGAGUAAUUUCCUUUUCAAUUUCCUGGGCCAUUUUAUUUUACCUCUGGCUGCCCCUUGGAUGAGUGGUCCACUAAGCACAAAACUAAAGUGUGUCAGUUUUGGAAGAACAUGUGAAGAUUGUCCAUCAUUUUUCACAUUUUUCUUUGACAAGAGAGAGUGAGGAGCGUCUCCAGGGCCCAAUUCUGAGACAUUUGGCCACAGUUUCAUUCCUGAAGUGAGUGAGAGAACAAAAAGUUCAAAUACGUACAUGACAUAGUCCUAGUUUU
This 334-nucleotide long non-coding RNA is filed under the name Mus spicilegus (steppe mouse). RNAcentral's name for it is "lncRNA (ENSMSIG00000013177.1)". The record is from RNAcentral. Lineage: Eukaryota; Metazoa; Chordata; Mammalia; Rodentia; Muridae.